GACGAACGCUGGCGGCGUGCUUAACACAUGCAAGUCGAACGGAAAGGCCCUGCUUUUGUGGGGUGCUCGAGUGGCGAACGGGUGAGUAACACGUGAGUAACCUGCCCUUGACUUUGGGAUAACUUCAGGAAACUGGGGCUAAUACCGGAUAGGAGCUCCUGCUGCAUGGUGGGGGUUGGAAAGUUUCGGCGGUUGGGGAUGGACUCGCGGCUUAUCAGCUUGUUGGUGGGGUAGUGGCUUACCAAGGCUUUGACGGGUAGCCGGCCUGAGAGGGUGACCGGCCACAUUGGGACUGAGAUACGGCCCAGACUCCUACGGGAGGCAGCAGUGGGGAAUAUUGCACAAUGGGCGGAAGCCUGAUGCAGCAACGCCGCGUGCGGGAUGACGGCCUUCGGGUUGUAAACCGCUUUCGCCUGUGACGAAGCGUGAGUGACGGUAAUGGGUAAAGAAGCACCGGCUAACUACGUGCCAGCAGCCGCGGUGAUACGUAGGGUGCGAGCGUUGUCCGGAUUUAUUGGGCGUAAAGGGCUCGUAGGUGGUUGAUCGCGUCGGAAGUGUAAUCUUGGGGCUUAACCCUGAGCGUGCUUUCGAUACGGGUUGACUUGAGGAAGGUAGGGGAGAAUGGAAUUCCUGGUGGAGCGGUGGAAUGCGCAGAUAUCAGGAGGAACACCAGUGGCGAAGGCGGUUCUCUGGGCCUUUCCUGACGCUGAGGAGCGAAAGCGUGGGGAGCGAACAGGCUUAGAUACCCUGGUAGUCCACGCUGUAAACGGUGGGUACUAGGUGUGGGGUCCAUUCCACGGGUUCCGUGCCGUAGCUAACGCUUUAAGUACCCCGCCUGGGGAGUACGGCCGCAAGGCUAAAACUCAAAGGAAUUGACGGGGCCCCGCACAAGCGGCGGAGCAUGCGGAUUAAUUCGAUGCAACGCGUAGAACCUUACCUGGGUUUGACAUGGAUCGGGAGUGCUCAGAGAUGGGUGUGCCUCUUUUGGGGUCGGUUCACAGGUGGUGCAUGGCUGUCGUCAGCUCGUGUCGUGAGAUGUUGGGUUAAGUCCCGCAACGAGCGCAACCCUUGUCCACUGUUGCCAGCACGUUAUGGUGGGGACUCAGUGGAGACCGCCGGGGUCAACUCGGAGGAAGGUGGGGAUGACGUCAAGUCAUCAUGCCCCUUAUGUCCAGGGCUUCACGCAUGCUACAAUGGCUGGUACAGAGAGUGGCGAGCCUGUGAGGGUGAGCGAAUCUCGGAAAGCCGGUCUCAGUUCGGAUUGGGGUCUGCAACUCGACCUCAUGAAGUCGGAGUCGCUAGUAAUCGCAGAUCAGCAACGCUGCGGUGAAUACGUUCCCGGGGCUUGUACACACCGCCCGUCAAGUCAUGAAAGUUGGUAACACCCGAAGCCGGUGGCCUAACCGUUGUGGGGGAGCCGUCGAAGGUGGGACUGGUGAUUAGGACUAAGUCGUAGCAAGGUAGCCGUACCGGAAGG
This 1477-nucleotide ribosomal RNA is filed under the name uncultured bacterium. RNAcentral's name for it is "16S ribosomal RNA". It matches the Rfam family "Bacterial small subunit ribosomal RNA". The record is from RNAcentral.